UGGGGAAUAUUGGACAAUGGGCGCAAGCCUGAUCCAGCCAUGCCGCGUGGGUGAAGAAGGCCUUAGGGUUGUAAACCCCUUUCACCGGUGACGAUGAUGACGGUAGCCGGAGAAGAAGCCCCGGCUAACUCCGUGCCAGCAGCCGCGGUAAUACGGAGGGGGCAAGCGUUGUUCGGAAUUACUGGGCGUAAAGGGCGCGUAGGCGGUCUGUCGCGUCAGGUGUGAAAGCCCCGGGCUCAACCUGGGAGGUGCACUUGAUACGGGCGGACUGGAAUCCGGGAGAGGAUGGUGGAAUUCCCAGUGUAGAGGUGAAAUUCGUAGAUAUUGGGAAGAACACCGGUGGCGAAGGCGCUCUGCUAGGCCGCAACUGACACUGAGGGACGAAAGCUAGGGGAGCGAAUGGGAUUAGAUACCCCCGUAGUCC
This 424-nucleotide ribosomal RNA is filed under the name uncultured prokaryote. Its description in RNAcentral is "bacterial SSU rRNA". It matches the Rfam family "Bacterial small subunit ribosomal RNA", at positions 355 to 796 of the family's 1533-position model. The record is from RNAcentral.